This 637-nucleotide ribosomal RNA is filed under the name uncultured bacterium. RNAcentral's name for it is "bacterial SSU rRNA". It matches the Rfam family "Bacterial small subunit ribosomal RNA", at positions 607 to 1244 of the family's 1533-position model. The record is from RNAcentral.
GCUCAACUGAGGAAGUGCUUCGAAAACUGGUAAACUUGAGUGCAGAAGAGGAAAGUGGAACUCCAUGUGUAGCGGUGGAAUGCGUAGAUAUAUGGAAGAACACCAGUGGCGAAGGCGGCUUUCUGGUCUGUAACUGACGCUGAGAUUCGAAAGCAUGGGUAGCAAACAGGAUUAGAUACCCUGGUAGUCCAUGCCGUAAACGAUGAGUGCUAAGUGUUGGAGGGUUUCCGCCCUUCAGUGCUGCAGCUAACGCAUUAAGCACUCCGCCUGGGGAGUACGAUCGCAAGAUUGAAACUCAAAGGAAUUGACGGGGGCCCGCACAAGCGGUGGAGCAUGUGGUUUAAUUCGAAGCAACGCGAAGAACCUUACCAGGUCUUGACAUACCAUGAAAAGCUUAGAGAUAAGUCUUUCCCUUCGGGGACAUGGAUACAGGUGGUGCAUGGUUGUCGUCAGCUCGUGUCGUGAGAUGUUGGGUUAAGUCCCGCAACGAGCGCAACCCUUAUUAUCAGUUGCCAGCAUUCAGUUGGGCACUCUGGUGAGACUGCCGGUGAUAAACCGGAGGAAGGUGGGGACGACGUCAAAUCAUCAUGCCCCUUAUGACCUGGGCUACACACGUGCUACAAUGGUCGGUACAACG